CUGAGCCCUCCCAGAAACCUCCUGGGAAGCCCUGCCCGGGGCUAGCCUACGAGCAGCGGAGGUGCACCGGCCUGCCACCCUGCCCAGUGGCUGGGGGCUGGGGGCCUUGGGGCCCUGUGAGCCCCUGCCCUGUGACCUGUGGCCUGGGCCAGACCAUGGAACAACGGACGUGCAAUCACCCUGUGCCCCAGCAUGGGGGCCCCUUCUGUGCUGGCGAUGCCACCCGGACCCACAUCUGCAACACAGCUGUGCCCUGCCCUGUGGAUGGGGAGUGGGACUCGUGGGGGGAGUGGAGCCCCUGUAUCCGACGGAACAUGAAGUCCAUCAGCUGUCAAGAAAUCCCGGGCCAGCAGUCACGCGGGAGGACCUGCAGGGGCCGCAAGUUUGACGGACAUCGAUGUGCCGGGCAACAGCAGGAUAUCCGGCACUGCUACAGCAUCCAGCACUGCCCCUUGAAAGGAUCAUGGUCAGAGUGGAGUACCUGGGGGCUGUGCAUGCCCCCCUGUGGACCUAAUCCUACCCGUGCCCGCCAGCGCCUCUGCACACCCUUGCUCCCCAAGUACCCGCCCACCGUUUCCAUGGUCGAAGGUCAGGGCGAGAAGAACGUGACCUUCUGGGGGAGACCGCUGCCACGGUGUGAGGAGCUACAAGGGCAGAAGCUGGUGGUGGAGGAGAAACGACCAUGUCUACACGUGCCUGCUUGCAAAGACCCUGAGGAAGAGGAACUCUAACACUUCUCUCCUCCAC
RNAcentral lists this long non-coding RNA (747 nucleotides) under Homo sapiens (human). RNAcentral's name for it is "long non-coding RNA NONHSAT223314.1". Lineage: Eukaryota; Metazoa; Chordata; Mammalia; Primates; Hominidae. The record is from RNAcentral.